UACAGGCUUAACACAUGCAAGUCGAGGGGCAGCAUUUCAGUUUGCUUGCAAACUGGAGAUGGCGACCGGCGCACGGGUGAGUAACACGUAUCCAACCUGCCGAUAACUCGGGGAUAGCCUUUCGAAAGAAAGAUUAAUACCCGAUGGCAUAAUAGAACCGCAUGGUUUGAUUAUUAAAGAAUUUCGGUUAUCGAUGGGGAUGCGUUCCAUUAGGCAGUUGGUGGGGUAACGGCCCACCAAACCUUCGAUGGAUAGGGGUUCUGAGAGGAAGGUCCCCCACAUUGGAACUGAGACACGGUCCAAACUCCUACGGGAGGCAGCAGUGAGGAAUAUUGGUCAAUGGACGAGAGUCUGAACCAGCCAAGUAGCGUGAAGGAUGACUGCCCUAUGGGUUGUAAACUUCUUUUAUAUGGGAAUAAAGUGGUCCACGUGUGGAUUUUUGUAUGUACCAUAUGAAUAAGGAUCGGCUAACUCCGUGCCAGCAGCCGCGGUAAUACGGAGGAUCCGAGCGUUAUCCGGAUUUAUUGGGUUUAAAGGGAGCGUAGGUGGACAGUUAAGUCAGUUGUGAAAGUUUGCGGCUCAACCGUAAAAUUGCAGUUGAUACUGGCUGUCUUGAGUACAGUAGAGGUGGGCGGAAUUCGUGGUGUAGCGGUGAAAUGCUUAGAUAUCACGAAGAACUCCGAUUG
Molecule: ribosomal RNA, 686 nt
Filed under: uncultured Bacteroidales bacterium
Lineage: Bacteria; Pseudomonadati; Bacteroidota; Bacteroidia; Bacteroidales
Description: bacterial SSU rRNA
Rfam family: Bacterial small subunit ribosomal RNA
Source: RNAcentral